UAGGGAAGUCUUCCACAAUGGACGCAAGUCUGAUGGAGCAACGCCGCGUGAGUGAAGAAGGUCUUCGGAUCGUAAAACUCUGUUGUUAGAGAAGAACACGAGUGAGAGUAACUGUUCAUUCGAUGACGGUAUCUAACCAGCAAGUCACGGCUAACUACGUGCCGG
Molecule: ribosomal RNA, 165 nt
Filed under: uncultured bacterium
Lineage: Bacteria
Description: partial 16S rRNA
Rfam family: Bacterial small subunit ribosomal RNA
Source: RNAcentral